Molecule: ribosomal RNA, 397 nt
Filed under: uncultured bacterium
Lineage: Bacteria
Description: bacterial SSU rRNA
Rfam family: Bacterial small subunit ribosomal RNA
Source: RNAcentral
AACGAACGCUGGCGGCAUGCCUAACACAUGCAAGUCGAACGAGACCUUCGGGUCUAGUGGCGCACGGGUGCGUAACGCGUGGGAAUCUGCCCCUUGGUUCGGGAAUAACAGUUAGAAAUAGACUGCUAAUACCGGAUGAUGACGAAAGUCCAAAGAUUUAUCGCCGAGGGAUGAGCCCGCGUAGGAUUAGCUAGUUGGUGAGGUAAAGGCUCACCAAGGCGACGAUCCUUAGCUGGUCUGAGAGGAUGAUCAGCCACACUGGGACUGAGACACGGCCCAGACUCCUACGGGAGGCAGCAGUGGGGGAAGUAAUUUGGGACAAAUGGGCGAAAGCCUGAUCCAGCAAUGCCGCGUGAGUGAUGAAGGCCUAGGUCGUAAAGACUCUUUUACCUAGGGA